Molecule: ribosomal RNA, 417 nt
Filed under: Halomonas sp. enrichment culture clone C
Lineage: Bacteria; Pseudomonadati; Pseudomonadota; Gammaproteobacteria; Oceanospirillales; Halomonadaceae
Also listed under: 1 other name
Description: bacterial SSU rRNA
Rfam family: Bacterial small subunit ribosomal RNA
Source: RNAcentral
CUACCCUUGACAUCGAGAGAACUUGGCAGAGAUGCCUUGGUGCCUUCGGGAACUCUCAGACAGGUGCUGCAUGGCCGUCGUCAGCUCGUGUUGUGAAAUGUUGGGUUAAGUCCCGUAACGAGCGCAACCCUUGUCCCUAUUUGCCAGCGAUUCGGUCGGGAACUCUAGGGAGACUGCCGGUGACAAACCGGAGGAAGGUGGGGACGACGUCAGGUCAUCAUGGCCCUUACGGGUAGGGCUACACACGUGCUACAAUGGCCGGUACAAAGGGUUGCGAAGCCGCGAGGUGGAGCCAAUCCCGAAAAGCCGGUCUCAGUCCGGAUCGGAGUCUGCAACUCGACUCCGUGAAGUCGGAAUCGCUAGUAAUCGUGAAUCAGAAUGUCACGGUGAGUACGUUCCCGGGUCUUGUACACACCG